Molecule: long non-coding RNA, 1625 nt
Organism: Oenanthe melanoleuca
Lineage: Eukaryota; Metazoa; Chordata; Aves; Passeriformes; Muscicapidae
Exons: 3
Source: RefSeq, a predicted model, not a curated record
UUCCCUUCAUCCUUCCAUGGCUCUUGAUGACUUGAAGCCAUGAAAUACACUAAACUGGCAUUCCUGGAAGGAAUAUAGAGGUCUUCAGAGUUUGCAAGUUGCCAUCAGUUAUUGAUGUAGUCCAUCUUCUCUCCCCUUUUAGGAAAAUAAUUUGUAAUUAUUCGCUAUAAAUUUGUCCUAUAAGCACUUUAAUGGCUGUUGUGGACCAUGGAAUAUGAAUCUAGCACAUGUAUUAACCAAAAAUUACUCAAUGAAAGGAAGCUGAAGUCUAGUGAGAGUUUGGGUGACAUGUUUUAAAAUAGAGCAAUAAAAUUCAGCCUCUUUCUUAAAGAAAAAACCAAACAAGAUAUUCUUCCAUUUUAAAUAUUUCAUAUUCAUAUGUAUUUAUUUUCCCUUCAUCACUGAAAUUCUUCCAGCACCUUUGGUCCUAUGUGGUUUUUUUUCCUCCAUGAUUACCUGCUCUCUAUACUCUCCUCAAGUAGUCUCAGCAGUGAAACUUUUAAAAGUGCUAUUUUCCUAUAUUAGUCAGUACCUGAUAUUUGGAAAUUGUGUGCAGCAGAUCAGGAAUGUGUCUGAAUUGGAAACCUGAAUGCAAGUCCCAGUGUAUGUACAUAUUCACAGCCAGGAUUCUGGCCUGUAGGACAUCUCUGUUUCAACAACUUCUCUUAUCCAUAUUCCACUGAAUUUUAAAACAGACAUAGAAGUAGUUGGGUAAGUAUAAUAAGUUAGAUUUCUGUCCUUGUUAAUAGAAUUUUCUUUUCCUUUUCUUCUGAGCAUGUAUAUUCUGUUGGAAGUAAAAUGAAUUUGAAUAAUCAUUGAAUCAACUCAAUUGACCAUAGCAGGAUAGAAGACUGAUCCAGCUGGCCAUUUAUUUUUCUCAGGGAUUUGGAGCAGCUGUAGACCUUGACUUCACAGUUCUGUGUAACUCAACAAAAUCAAAGCAGUUGGAGUAGAGACCCUUGUAAUCAGCAUGAAAAUUAGCUAUGACUGAAUAAUUUUGUGCACAUGUACAGCAGAUUCUCUUUGAAGAGGUUUUGUGUUUGCCAGGCAGAGGAGACUGGUCAGAAGAUUGACCUGUUUAUCUGCAUUUCCAUGACUCUGAGGAUAUAAAAGAUCUUUAAAAUGUUACCUGUCCCUGCAUGGAAACAGCAUCUAAAUUUCUCCUGGCUUGUGGGCACCAUAGGGGAGAAGAAGCUCUGCAGGGUGACAGAACAGCUUCUGGAAGGCUUUUCUGACACACAGAAGCAUCCUCACAAUGUUUCAGUGCCACAGCCCACUCUCCUUUCAGGGCAAGAAGAAAUAUUGAACAAAAGAGGAGAAAGUGUGAAAAAACAGAAUUAAUGCAUUAUUAUACUUCUGUCUCUGUGGAGGAGAAGAUAAUAAACCUCUAUUUUAUCCCAGUUCUAUUUGGCUUUCAAGACCAUGUCCUCUGUUCUCACAUAACAGCAGCAGCUGCUUCUUGCUUCUCUCAAUGAGAGGUCAAAAGGCAGGUAGACCUGCCAGAUUUCAAUUAUAUAGAUAUAAAAAUAGAUUUCAAUUUUAAUCCCAUUAAAUGUUACUCAAUUCAAUAAAAUAAGAAGAGAUUAUUUUGGAAUUUCUGACAGUGUUUUGGGAAUUUAGGAUAG